GGAGCUUUGAUGCUAGGCUAGCUAGCUACUCAGAUUAUAUCGAAGCCCCCUCCUCUUACCCCACUUCUGUGGAGACAUCCAGUAUCAAAUGUGGGAUCAGACUUUACGAAGAAACUCUAACGUAUCACAAAAGGAGGAAGGAGGCGCAUCAGUGUGGAGUGUUUCCCAGAAAACAGAGGUUGGAUGGCGUGAGGUCCAGCAGUCUCCACGCGAAACUGGACGCGCGAAACGUUUGGAAAUCCACGUGGAAGAAAGCUUCCAAGGGGGUCUCUUGACAUCUAACCGAAGGCCCUCGGGGGAUCCGUGGACCCAAGGUUGAGGAGCUUUCUGGGUCUUUCCAGAGGUCAAAUACGUUCUUUGUCUUCUUUAAUUUUGCUUUAAAGAAAUCACACAACUGACCAUCGACGCCAGCUUUCUUUUAUGCUUCGAGAAACUAACAACAGCAACAAUAAUGCAACUUCGUUGUAUAGAUCUCUUUGUAUCUGUCUCUCAUGUGACUGAUACCGUCAACCACUCCUGCAAACAGCAAAUAACAAUCUUGGCAUUUUAUUGAUCGUAUGAUACCUAUUUCUGAAUGCCACAGAAAAUAAAGAAAGAGAACGCA
Molecule: long non-coding RNA, 604 nt
Organism: Felis catus (domestic cat)
Lineage: Eukaryota; Metazoa; Chordata; Mammalia; Carnivora; Felidae
Exons: 3
Source: RefSeq, a predicted model, not a curated record